CCUGGUAGUCCACGCUGUAAACGAUGUCGAUUUGGAGGUUGUGCCCUUGAGGCGUGGCUUCCGGAGCUAACGCGUUAAAUCGACCGCCUGGGGAGUACGGCCGCAGGGUUAAAACUCAAAUGAAUUGACGGGGGCCCGCACAAGCGGUGGAGCAUGUGGUUUAAUUCGAUGCAACGCGAAGAACCUUACCUACUCUUGACAUCCAGAGAACUUAGCAGAGAUGCUUUGGUGCCUUCGGGAACUCUGAGACAGGUGCUGCAUGGCUGUCGUCAGCUCGUGUUGUGAAAUGUUGGGUUAAGUCCCGCAACGAGCGCAACCCUUAUCCUUUGUUGCCAGCGGUUCGGCCGGGAACUCAAAGGAGACUGCCAGUGAUAAACUGGAGGAAGGUGGGGAUGACGUCAAGUCAUCAUGGCCCUUACGAGUAGGGCUACACACGUGCUACAAUGGCAUAUACAAAGAGAAGCGACCUCGCGAGAGCAAGCGGACCUCAUAAAGUAUGUCGUAGUCCGGAUUGGAGUCUGCAACUCGACUCCAUGAAGUCGGAAUCGCUAGUAAUCGUAGAUCAGAAUGCUACGGUGAAUACGUUCCCGGGCCUUGUACACACCGCCCGUCACACCAUGGGAGUGGGUUGCAAAAGAAGUAGGUAGCUUAACCUUCGGGAGGGCGCUUACCACUUUGUGAUUCAUGACUGGGGUGAAGUCGUAACAAGGUACCAAGGGCGAA
RNAcentral lists this ribosomal RNA (723 nucleotides) under uncultured Serratia sp. RNAcentral's name for it is "bacterial SSU rRNA". It matches the Rfam family "Bacterial small subunit ribosomal RNA", at positions 786 to 1509 of the family's 1533-position model. The record is from RNAcentral. Lineage: Bacteria; Pseudomonadati; Pseudomonadota; Gammaproteobacteria; Enterobacterales; Yersiniaceae.